This 445-nucleotide ribosomal RNA is filed under the name uncultured bacterium. Its description in RNAcentral is "bacterial SSU rRNA". It matches the Rfam family "Bacterial small subunit ribosomal RNA", at positions 330 to 792 of the family's 1533-position model. The record is from RNAcentral.
CCCAGACUCCUACGGGAGGCAGCAGUGGGGAAUAUUGCACAAUGGGGGAAACCCUGAUGCAGCGACGCCGCGUGAGUGAAGAAGUAUUUCGGUAUGUAAAGCUCUCUCAGCAGGGAAGAUAAUGACGGUACCUGACUAAGAAGCCCCGGCUAACUACGUGCCAGCAGCCGCGGUAAUACGUAGGGGGCAAGCGUUAUCCGGAUUUACUGGGUGUAAAGGGAGCGUAGACGGCAAGACAAGCCUGGAGUGAAAGGCGGGGGCCCAACCCCCGGACUGCUCUGGGAACUGUCUGGCUGGAGUGCAGGAGGGGUAAGUGGAAUUCCUAGUGUAGCGGUGAAAUGCGUAGAUAUUAGGAGGAACACCAGUGGCGAAGGCGGCUUACUGGACUGUAACUGACGUUGAGGCUCGAAAGCGUGGGGAGCAAACAGGAUUAGAUACCCUGGUA